CAGAGGGUGCUAGCGUUGUUCGGAAUUAUUGGGCGUAAAGCGCGUGUAGGCGGCUCUGCAAGUUGGGUGUGAAAGCCCUCGGCUUAACCGAGGAAGUGCGCCCAAAACUAUGGAGCUUGAGUGCCGGAGAGGGUGGCGGAAUUCCCGGUGUAGAGGUGAAAUUCGUAGAUAUCGGGAGGAACACCAGUGGCGAAGGCGGCCACCUGGACGGUGACUGACGCUGAGACGCGAAAGCGUGGGGAGCAAACAGGAUUAGAUACCCUGGUAGUCCACGCUGUAAACGAUGAGCGCUAGGUGUUGUGGGUGUUGACCCCCGCAGUGCCGAAGCUAACGCAUUAAGCGCUCCGCCUGGGAAGUACGGCCGCAAGGCUA
This 372-nucleotide ribosomal RNA is filed under the name uncultured organism. RNAcentral's name for it is "bacterial SSU rRNA". It matches the Rfam family "Bacterial small subunit ribosomal RNA", at positions 526 to 896 of the family's 1533-position model. The record is from RNAcentral.